Molecule: ribosomal RNA, 253 nt
Filed under: uncultured bacterium
Lineage: Bacteria
Description: partial 16S ribosomal RNA
Rfam family: Bacterial small subunit ribosomal RNA
Source: RNAcentral
UACGUAGGGGGCAAGCGUUAUCCGGAAUUACUGGGUGUAAAGGGUGAGUAGGCGGUUAUGUAAGCCAUAUGUGAAAGUCUGUAGCUCAACUAUAGAAUUGCAUAAGGAACUGUGUAACUAGAGUGCAGGAGAGGUAAGUGGAAUUCAUAGUGUAGCGGUGAAAUGCGUAGAUAUUAGGAGGAACACCAGUGGCGAAGGCUACUUACUGGACUGAAACUGACGCUGAGACACGAAAGCGUGGGGAGCAAACAGG